UGAACACUUGGAAGGUUCCUGUUGUAGCUUAAUUUUACUGUUCUUCUGCCCUUUGCUGUGUUUUAGUUUGUUGUGUCGACAAGAGACAAGUGCUUGCAUAAUCAAGCAAGGGCGCAGCUUAUUUUAGUGCGCUUUUUGUUGAUUUGUUAGGGUUACAUGGCAACUUGUGAUAAUGGGAUUAUGAGUAUGAUACACUCUUGAUUUGUCCUCGUGUGCAUUUUUGGUUGGCCUUUUCUCCUAUUACGCGUGUGGUGUGCCAUACCCAUUCAGAGUCACGCGAGGUUUAUUUACCAAGGAGUGAAUUUCAAGAUAUAAUCAACUAAAAGGAUCUCUUAGUAGUACAACACACGUUGCAGAUGCAGCUUAGAUCAUUAUUGGAUGAACCCUGAAUUUUGCCCCAAGUUCACUUCUGGUCCUUAAGUUUUUCAAACUGUCGCAGUUCACGUUUGGACUCCCCAGGAUUUUGGCUAAUAUAUAGCGUCAAUGUGAGCUGUUAUUUUUUGUUGACAGGGUCUAUGUCAGCUGGUUUUAUUGAUGUAGUUGCCACAGACAAGAGCAAGGAAUAUCGGCCAAAGCCGUCUUCUUUUAUUCCAUUUCAUUCGUUGCAGAACUAGAUAGCCACCGAGCCACAUGAGAAGCUAUCCUCUACUCACGGUAGAAGUCACAGGAAAUCCUCACAGCCUCUUCUUGACGCUCUUGACGCCGUCGCUGUCGGACGAGCAGUCAAAGCUGUAUGAGACGUGGCUGCCUUGUCUCGCACAAUGCCUACUGCCUUUGCUCCCCUGAUGCCAUCGUUGUGUUGCGGCGCCGCUGUUUGUUUUUUUAAACAAGGCAAAAUAUUUACCGUUUUCAUUGAUUAAGAAGAAGAGAGUUGUCUGAUUAAUUAAAGAAAAACUGGACGAAAAACCUAAAUUACAAACCCCACAAGGGGCACACACGAACGACCUGGCCACAAGCAAGAUCACGACACAACCAAUGAUAUAGCCGUCGAGAGGUAGCACCAAACAACAAAGCAACGCCAAACAGUUGACCGCAGCGUCGAGGACGUGGCAGCUCUGAUUUUGCCGACGAGCAUCACAGGAGAAAGUUGCAAGCCUCGCACCGACCUAGUCCAACGCAACACCCGAAGAGCAGCGCUCGUUGGAAACCGCCCUCAUGUUUUCCUCGUGCUGGUGGAUGGUCUUGAUCAAGGGGGCCGCCAUUGUUGAGCUGAGCGUGUCCGUCAUUGACCACGUCGCUGGGGCAAGAAACUAGCGGUUCAGAAGAAAUCGAGCAGCGGCAACAUGUUCUGUUUUACUCGCAUUAACAAUGCAAAAUAAAUAAAUUUACGAGAGAAACUGUCGAUCUAUUCACGUCAUAUAUAAAUCAUAAAAGUGACAAGCACUAGAGCGAGUCGAAGGCGCGCCGCUGUCAUCAUCCCCCAUCACAGGAGCAGGACAAACCUUAUUGUAGUACACAGUCGGGAAGUCGACGUGCUCUGGCCUCAUAGGACCAGUGCACCAGAGCAGCAACCAUCACCGAUGAAGAAAGUCGUAGAUCAAAAGGACUAAAUCUAAACACAUCAACAAAGGCGAACGAAGACCGGAUCCAAACAGAUCCACCUAAGACCAGCACCGACCGAAUCCCGCGAGGUACGACGGAGACACGUCACCACACGCCGUCCGACGAUGCUAGACACCCUGUCGAGAAGAGGAUCAAACGCGAGGGGCAUUAUUCUUAUCGAGGCUUCAUUCGGNNNNNNNNNNNNNNNNNNNNNNNNNNNNNNNNNNNNNNNNNNNNNNNNNNNNNNNNNNNNNNNNNNNNNNNNNNNNNNNNNNNNNNNNNNNNNNNNNNNNNNNNNNNNNNNNNNNNNNNNNNNNNNNNNNNNNNNNNNNNNNNNNNNNNNNNNNNNNNNNNNNNNNNNNNNNNNNNNNACCCCGUGGCUCGGCCAGGAUUGUCGUGGGCGGGGAUAUAUCCCCGUCUGCUUCAUACAGUGCAUUCGAUCAUACCAGACAGGGAUAGAAACCCUAUCAAAUCCCCCCGCAACCCUACGGUUUUGACCCAAAAAACGCCCUCCAUAUGCGUGGAAUUAAUCCCGCCAUUGUUGCAGAGAAUGGGUGAAGGGGCGGGGUCAACCCAACACCCGUGUGGAUUGGAUCCUCUAGGGGGUCAAAUCCCUAAUAACCGAACAUAGCUUGUGGAACAUCGCCAUCGCUGCGCAACCCCAACCAAGAUACCUAAUAAGAACGAGAGCAUGGUCCCUCCCGCCAGCGGGGGCUGAGGUCCUCCGCAUCUCUGUGGCCCAAAUGGCCAUCGGAGGUGGGGAGAACCAGCGGCGGCGCCACAGGAGGAAGAGAAAGUCCGAUCGCCUAUGGUCCUUUCUUUGAUCAAGUCACAUAUAUUGUUUUUGUUUAUAUCAAGCCAUGGAGAUUGUGAUUAUUAUGAAUUUUUUUGGGUCUGGAUUGUGAUUGUGAUUAUUAGUAAUGCAAUUUGAUACCCUUUAAGUUUGUGUUUACGUUGCCGAACCAAACACUUCAGAGUUUCAUAUCUUUUCUUUAAACACAAGAGUUUCAUAUCUAAAUUCUCUAGAAACAAAAAAGAAAAUAGUAGCUAGUUUAAAUUGGGACAUUAAUUCGGCCCAUCAACACUAUUAGCAGUAUAUUUGCAUAUUUGUUUUUCUCGAGAAACACAGUGAACUUGGUUCUGAAAUUCCAUACAUUGUGAACUAUUUGUUUUACAACUUUAAGAAACCCAUAUACGGAUGAAAUUUUAUUCUUUUACAGACAAAAAUACUUGGGAGUAUUUUACUUGUGGGAGUACUUGAUAUGCUCUGAUGUCCUCCUAGGAUUUCAUGUUAAACCACUGUAGGGUCUAAAAAGAUAAACUGUUUAGGCUCCGGUUAUUUUGACGACUUACGACAUAAGCCGCCCCUUCCAAACUUAUUUUAGAAGCUGACCCUAUAUUCAUUGGGACUCGUGAGCGGCGGGGGGUUAUUUUAGAAACUGCCAAAAGAAGUACUCCCCCCGUCCCAAAAUUCUUGUCUUACAUUUGUUUAGAUACGGAUGUACCUACUACUAAAACGUGACUUCAUACAUCCGUAUUUGGAUAAAUCUAAGACAAGAAUGUUGGGACGGAGGGAGUAGUCAUUAGUGAGUUCAGUUUCAGUUUUAUGCUUUGUACUGCUUGAAAGUUCUAGGGCCAAAAGUGAGAUUGGGCAAAGUUGAAGGUCCAAAAGCGGACUUCUUUCUUAUUGAAUUGAUUACAGAAAGGUGCCAUAAAUCAAUCGACGACAUUACUGAAACGGAGCAUGUUCCCUGAACAAAACGAAAUUCAACUUCUAAGGCGCCACUUCCAGCUUAGGAUUCAAUCGCACUAGGCUCUAACACUUCAAAAUUUCAAAUCACGCAUUUUCUUCUGAUUUUGACGGUCACCAUAAUCCUUGCUUCAUCGCGUUCAUGGCCGAUCACCGCUCGAGCUCUUGGGCGCCGCCUGUCCUCCUGCCUGUCCGGUCUCCGUCUCCUCCUGGGGCUCGUCUUCUUUGUCGUCGACGAGUAUCUUCUUGCAGGCCUCGUAGCACAUGAAGGAGAUGCCGGCAGCGGGCAUGAGCUUGAUGCAGCUGGGGCCGAGCCCGCGGUAGAGCCCCGCGGCGCCCUCCUUCUUGAGGAUGCAGUACAUGGCGUGCAGCACGUUCUUGUACACCUGCCUCCCGCCCACGGCGCCCACCUGCAUCUGCUUCCGCGCCACCUCCAGCGGGAACGUGGCCGUGCUGGCGAUGGCGCCCGCCGCGGACCCGAUCAGCAGCGUCGGCACGUUGCCCACCUCCUCCUUCCCCGACGCGCGGCGGUACACGCCGCGCAGCGUCUCGUAGGCGUAGAAGUUGGCCGCCGCGUACGGCACCACGCCGAUCAGGCUCGGCGCCAGCCCGCGGUACAGCUCCCCGGGGCCUUCGUCGCGCACGAUCUUGACGAACGCGUGGAGGAGGUUGUCGUACACGUCCUUCUGCAUGCAACGCAACGGGGUCGUCAGUCAGAUGGCACUGCCACUGGUUUAGAUAUACGUAGUACUGUACUGGAAUUCUGUGUGUUCACCUCGAUGGUGAGGCGGGUCUUGACGAGCUCCAUGGGAUAGGUGCACAGGGUUGAGGCCACUCCGGCGAGCGCUCCGGCGACGAGCGGCGUGGGGAUGGGGACCUUGGCUGGCUCGCCGGCCUCCGGGGUCAGGUACUUCUUGGCCGUGUCGUAAGUGAAGUGCUGCACCGCGCCAUGUGGAGUCAGGGACACUGCAUCUCGCAUCAGUACGAAAUUUGAAGGAAAAACACGUGAGGUGGCUGGCUGGCUGGCUUGCCUCGAUGGCCUUGCUGGGCGCGACGCGGAGGACGUUGACGGCGUUCCCGCGGAAGAGGCCGGGCCACCCCUCCGUCCGCAUGAUCCACCGGAAAACCCCGGCCAUGGAGUCGGCGCCGGAGCUUCCCACCAUCAGGUGCGUCCUGAUCGUCUCCAGCGGCGCCACGAAAGUCCUCGACACGGCGCCGGCGAUGGCGCCGCUGACCAGCCGCCGCAGGUGCGGGUUGCCGAUCUUGACCCUCACCUUCCUCAGACCCAGCUGCUGCUUCUUGGCCUUUUUCGCCUUCUGGGCCUUCUGGACGCCCGCCUCGCCCGCGGCUGCGAGCUGGUGUGCGACGUCGUCGGCGGGCCGAGCCUUCCCGUCAUGCUCGCGCGCCACCGGCGGGGCGCCGUGGGACAGGCUGAGUCCUACGCUGGCGAACAGAGCCCUGCGUGGGAAGUCCAAGCUCCUUGACUCGGGCUGCGAGCUCCAAGGGAAGGCGACCUCAGGGACCGGCCGCAAGAACCAGUUCUUCUUGUCCAUGGCGAGCGAGGCGCGGUUGUUCUUGGUCACCAUUGUCGUUGCCGCCAUUGCCGCCGCCAUCUGAUUCAACUCGAACACAUAAAGGAUUAUUAUAUGCAAGGGCGAAAGAGCUAAGUUGUACAGUGACUAGUGAGCAAGAGUGCAAGAGCAAGGCUAAGAUCAGCUCAAUUCAUACCACAAAAACCUAAAAAUGUCCAUGCAAGUUAGGCCACAAAACACACAAGGGAACACCAAGAUCACUCAAAAUGGCAUUAUGGUGAUGGAAUUAGAUCUUAAGAGCAGAUUUGGUUAAUCCAAUUUAGCACUGAGGUACUGAUAAACACUACUGAAAACGCUCACACACGCAUCAGGUACAUAAAAGGACAGAAUCUAAGCUGGAUGAAAACUGAAAACGUUUCCCACACGCAUCUAUUCAAGGUAACAAAUUAUUUAAAUGAAAAUUUAUAUGAACCAGUACUAUUUUUGACCCGGUUAUAUAUACGAAUGACUUAAAGUUCAUUUCUAUGCAUUAAAAUUAACAUGCUUUUAUUAUAAACUGAGCGAGUAAAAUAUAUUCAGCUUAUUUCUCUUUUAGCCGACCCCUAGUCAUGGAAAAGGAAAACGAAUAUCGAGACUGUUGUGCAGUCUAACUAUACGCAUACCUCGAGGAAGGAAGACGGAACUGAUACGUGCCUAGGAGUUCUUCAGUCCUUCACUCACUCACUGGCCUCUCUCGUUGUUGGGAAUGGGGGUGGCUCGACGGCCAUUUUAUACCCGUUUCAGCACUCUCACCAUCAACUGCCGUGUCCAGUGAGCAACGAUGUCCGGCCUCUAUCAUGGCCUCUGCCAUCUCUGCCCCUCAACCGCACCCCAGUACCACCGCACACGGUCGCUGAGAUCCGUCGGACAUGAAGGGCAAUCCGGUCUAAUCGUCGAAGCGGAUUUGGAGCCGUCUGUGCCAAUCUGUGCAUACGCCAGAAUGGCCUCGUCUGCUUCCAUCAAAAAGAAGAAGAAUGGCUUCGUCUGGCUUCGGACGUGCGUGUGUCUCAUGCGUGCAUGGAUCCGCACUCGCCAGCCGCAACAGCCUUUGUUUUUGCCAGUUCAGUUCCUACUCGCGGAAGAAGAAGGCGACGGAAACCGGUGGGUAGCCGCGAGGGGCGCACACAGCAGCCGGGUCACGCUGGCCAGGCCGCCAGGCACGCACGCUGCUUUAGAACUGAAUCUUUCCUGAUGUAUCAAGAUGUAAUUAACCACGAGUCUACAUGGUAGUGCUAAGUCCUGUUUGAAAUAAAUGGGCUUGCCCAUUAAGAGCAUAUACAUCGGGGCACCCUAAACCCACCUCAAACGCCAGGCGGACAGCCCGGUCAAUGAUCGGUCAUAAAUAAGCAACCCAGAUGAGCGCCUCAACGGACCUUAAACGCCCGAGGCUGACCGGCACCCCUAAUAUCCAGCCAAAAUCUAGGACGGAUAUAGGGGCGUCUGGACGCGUCCGCCACGUCAGACCCGGCCCACGUUGGCCCACUCGACCUCACAUAUAUUCCUUCCCAUCCGCUCGACGGAUCAAACCAUAGCCACUUCAUUUCACUCUCUUCUGCCACCCAAGCUCUCAUCUGGCGAUCUCCGGCAUGACGGGCAGCGGAUCCGAGUCCUAUACUUCCAGAACUGUCGAUCUCGAGCUCAUCCCACGUGGCCCCGAGGAGGAGAUGGUCGUCCCGCUCUCGGGAGGAGGCCGCUCGACGGCAACGUUUAGACUCCUUCUGUUGGGAAUCCAUUGCAUCAGCCCAUAUGGCGCAUGGAUCCGCGCUAUGUGUGCCAUCGCCGCCUCACCGAAGGCGGUGCAGUCUGGCUGGCGUACAAACGCGCUGGCGGACACGCAACCCCUCCGUUGGUGCGUCAAGGCCAUGGAUGCACCAUGGGCGUCGUUCGACGCAAACAUGGCGCGGCGUGCCCACCGUGCAAGGCAGCGGGCACGGGAAGCGGCGGUAGCCCUCGCGGCGGUGGACAUUGGCGAGGCGGAUUCGCAUUCUCCGGCACCCUAUAUGGCGCACCACUCCAGGCGCUGCAACCGCGUCAUGGUGGAUGUCUCCGCCUCAUCCCAGGAUGGAUCCAUCAUCGAUCUGACGUCCACCGGCACCGUCCGGGUUCUGAGUUCCGACGAGGAAGAGUAGGGCAUGGGAGACGACGGAGCCUUGAGUCCCGUGAGCCGGCUCGUGUUCCAUGCGUUACUCUACCUUGCCGACGACCGGACCAACACUCUGUGGAGCGCAGUCGGCCAUCAUAUGUGGGCAUGACGGAGCCGGACGAGCUCCGCUUAAAGAUCAAUUUAUGUUGCAUGUAAUAAUAUGGAUUUGAGAUUUCUAAUUUGAGGUAUCCGGUUGUAGAAUCAAAUAUUUGAGACGUGACCGACCACUAUCCACGGACGCGCCCGGGCACAUCAGCGAACGUUUGAGGGGUCAGAUUUGACAAGUCUGGCUAUAGACGCUCUAACAAAUUCUAAAAUCUCAAAUGGGCCCAUGAGAAAAAUGGCAAGUGAACUAAGUUGGUUUGAGAUCGUGAUCGUGACAGAUACCACCUCUCACUAAAAAAAAACUUCCGUGAUGAUAUGUUUUUGUCACAGUAGGUCAUGUUUUUCUGACAUGCAUGUGUUUUUCUAACAUGCAUGUACAUCCGUAAUGAUUUAAUGACAGAAUCAAGAUAGUCAUACA
Molecule: long non-coding RNA, 7529 nt
Filed under: Triticum aestivum (bread wheat)
Lineage: Eukaryota; Viridiplantae; Streptophyta; Magnoliopsida; Poales; Poaceae
Description: long non-coding RNA (TAES_LNC011820)
Rfam family: MIR1120/MIR1122 microRNA precursor family (bases 2991-3125)
Source: RNAcentral